GAGAAAUGGAAGACAGAGACUGGUCAUUUUUAUGAGGUGUAUGACGUAUUGUACUAAUUCCACCGCAAUGUAAACUGUCCUGGCUCUUCAGUUCAGAGUCUUCUAAUCAUUGCUUUGCUGUAACUUUGUGGUUUUAUUUCUGUUUUUGUCUGAAACCAGAAAGUCCUUUGCUGUUUCCUUAUUACCCUCGAAAAUCAUUACAUUUUGUGAAAAGAAGGAUGGAGAAGAUUAUUGAUCAGUGUUUGCAAAAGCCAGCAGAUGUAAUUGGAAGAUCGAUGAAUCAAGCAAUCUGUAUUCCGUUAUAUAGAGAUGCUAGGAGGUAAUUCUCUUUACCUGUGUGUGCUGUAAAUUUAGCUGGAAUUAAAAUUUUUCUCAU
This 376-nucleotide long non-coding RNA is filed under the name Nannospalax galili (Upper Galilee mountains blind mole rat). RNAcentral describes it as "lncRNA (ENSNGAG00000024605.1)". Lineage: Eukaryota; Metazoa; Chordata; Mammalia; Rodentia; Spalacidae. The record is from RNAcentral.